GACGAACGCUGGCGGCGUGCCUAACACAUGCAAGUCAACGAGAAAGGGUAGCAAUAUCCUGAGUAAAGUGGCGCACGGGUGAGUAACACGUAGGUAAUCUGCCAUCAGGACGGGGACAACCACGCGAAAGACGUAGCUAAUACCCGAUGAAUCAGCGAUGCCGCAUGGCAUUGCUGUUAAAUACCGCAAGGUGCCCGAUGAUGAACCUGCGUCCCAUUAGGUAGUUGGUGAGGUAACGGCUCACCAAGCCGACGAUGGGUAGCUGGUCUGAGAGGAUGAUCAGCCACACUGGAACUGAGACACGGUCCAGACUCCUACGGGAGGCAGCAGUGAGGAAU
RNAcentral lists this ribosomal RNA (338 nucleotides) under uncultured bacterium. RNAcentral describes it as "bacterial SSU rRNA". It matches the Rfam family "Bacterial small subunit ribosomal RNA", at positions 28 to 362 of the family's 1533-position model. The record is from RNAcentral.